Molecule: ribosomal RNA, 460 nt
Filed under: uncultured bacterium
Lineage: Bacteria
Description: partial 16S ribosomal RNA
Rfam family: Bacterial small subunit ribosomal RNA
Source: RNAcentral
CCUACGGGAGGCAGCAGUGAGGAAUAUUGGUCAAUGGACGAGAGUCUGAACCAGCCAAGUAGCGUGAAGGCUGACUGCCCUAUGGGUUGUAAACUUCUUUUAUAUGGGAAUAAAACGUUCCACGUGUGGGAUUUUGUAUGUACCAUAUGAAUAAGGAUCGGCUAACUCCGUGCCAGCAGCCGCGGUAAUACGGAGGAUCCGAGCGUUAUCCGGAUUUAUUGGGUUUAAAGGGGGCGUAGGUGGAUUGUUAAGUCAGUUGUGAAAGUUUGCGGCUCAACCGUAAAAUUGCAGUUGAAACUGGCAGUCUUGAGUACAGUAGAGGUGAGCGGAAUUCGUGGUGUAGCGGUGAAAUGCUUAGAUAUCACGAAGAACUCCGAUUGCGAAGGCAGUUCACUGGACUGCAACUGACACUGAGGCUCGAAAGUGUGGGUAUCAAACAGGAUUAGAUACCCUAGUAGUC